AACGAACGCUGGCGGCAGGCUUAACACAUGCAAGUCGAGCGAAGACUUCGGUCUUAGCGGCGGACGGGUGAGUAACGCGUGGGAACAUACCCUUUGCUACGGAACAGUCCCGGGAAACUGGGUUUAAUACCGUAUACGCCCUUCGGGGGAAAGAUUUAUCGGCAAAGGAUUGGCCCGCGUUGGAUUAGGUAGUUGGUGGGGUAAAGGCCUACCAAGCCGACGAUCCAUAGCUGGUUUGAGAGGAUGAUCAAACCCUCGCAUUAG
This 264-nucleotide ribosomal RNA is filed under the name uncultured bacterium. RNAcentral describes it as "partial 16S ribosomal RNA". It matches the Rfam family "Bacterial small subunit ribosomal RNA", at positions 29 to 316 of the family's 1533-position model. The record is from RNAcentral.